AAAGAUCUAAUCCUAACUGCUAGAUCGCAAGGAUCCAACGGACACAAAAAUUCCCAUAAUUUUUUUAAAUCCCUAAAUAUCAGGACCGUUUGUCUAAAAGAUGAAAGCUCUAGAUCCAAUCGCUCAAGCUUAACCUUAGAGACGACCUAAACUAUCCAAAACCCUAAAAUCAUUUCCCCCAAGCCCUGCUGCCUCUCUUUCCCCUUCCUCUCUUUUUUCUCUAAACCUUACAACCUAAAUCAAUCAAAAGACCUUGCAUAAAUUCGUGCAAGGUCAUGAAUUCAUCCAUAGAUUCAUCUUCCCUAUCUCCCACAUCCGUGAUUCUCACUGAAUCUUUUCGCUUUCACCGAUUAAAUUCAGAAGUCCUAAUUUGAAACUCUAUGCUUAAAGGAUGAAACUUCAGCUCGCCUGAUUUUUCCUUCGCCAUUGCAAAUCUAUGGCAUGCAUGGUUAUCUUUGCGAUGUUAUCAUUAUUAUUCUCGGUCCAGAGGUCAAGCGUAGUGACCUCUGAAUAUUGGGCCCUUUAACCCAUGGUUCUUUUCCUUCAAACAGGUAGUUGUCACUCAGGUAAAUUUCUUCAUCAUUUUUUUCCUCUAUCUCCUUAGAUUUUUCCUGAUUUUGCUUGCAUCACCACUCCUCUGUCACUCUCCACUACCAUGGUUUAAAUCUGAAACCGUAAGGAUCAACGACCAUUAUAAAUAACAACCUUAAAUGCUUUCACCAAGAACAUACCAACCGCACCUAACAUCUGAGAAAUUAAUACGGUAUAGGUAUAGUGCUUAGGAGUUUUCUAUUGCAAUUCAAGUUUCUACUCAAUCUUUGCUUCUCCUUUUCUUUCUGGUUCCAAGUUUGUUACUGAUUGAGAGCUUGAGCUUUUGGCUUCUUAAAGGCUAAUUUGAAUACUCGUUUGGUUUUCUGCCCCAAAGGAGGUCAGUAAAACCUAGACCUUGUUCUUAUUUUAUUAGUUUAAGUUUUUGAACAUGAACUAUUCUACUACCUCUUGCUGAAUGAUGUUAUUAACAAUGUAUUCACGUUUUGACUGUUUUACGUGUUUAUUAAUGAUUGUUAAAUAGAUUCUACAAUAAUGAACCUCUUUUAAGUUAUUAAAAAUUAGAAUUAUGUAUUGAUCUCAAUAAACAUCUAAUGAUCCAUAUCUACUUUAACUAUGAAAACAACUAAAGAACUUCUUAAUGUUCCUAAUAUCUAGUUUCAGACCUCUCUAUUCUCACUAUUAUGAUUGUUAUGCUAAUCUGCUUUGAAUGUUAUUUUGUAGUUCACACAAUAACCUAGACUUAAAUGAAGUAUGACUCUAUUUAGUGUUGAAAACCAGAUUGUUAUCUUAGUUUAGAUACACUAGAUCAUGACCUUUAAACCUUUUUUUGUCUCUUUGAUAUGCCUCUAUGAUUUUGCUAAUUACCUGAUUGAAUUCAUGACUGUUAUGUAAACAUGCCCUAAGCUAGCUAGGUCUUUGUGUAUAGUCUGAUAUUGCUUCACACUUAGUUUAAGCUAUGAAGUAUGGAUAAGAUGUAUUUGAAUUAUGAUGACACAUUUGUUGAGUUAAAGUGCUGCUACUAAGUUCAAGUCCCAUACCAGACUCAUUUGACAUGCUUCCCCAAUGUGAUGAUACCCUUACCCUUUUACUAAAGCUCAUAUGGUGUCACAGUUAGUAAUACUUUCAUAAUAUGACCCCUGCUAAGUGUUCUCUAUGUGUCCUUGUGAUUCUGCACUCAUUUAUGUUUUUCAAUCCCUCUAUUUGCCUUUCAUGAUCACAUACAUGCUUACACUGUCUUUGAAACUUCACCGAGAUCUCCUAAAAGGAUUAGACUUAGCUUGUGAACUCUAAGAGAAUCUUUUGUUGCAAUGACUUAAAUAUAACAACAUGCUUUGUUCUCAAUGAGAUAAGCAUGGAUUUAAAACUCUUAGAAAGAAGAGAUUAUGCCAUUGAUUUUGAAGUUAAGCAGGACUGAUAGCCUAAGAUUCUGUUCGUACUCUUAGAAGUUCUAAUUGAAUUUGUGAAUUUGUGGCUUUGUUAAUGUCUUUAGAAGUUCUAAUUGCAGCCUCUUAAUUUGUAAUCAUGUUAAUACUGUCACGCCCCAAAAUCCAAGGAGCAUGACCAGCGCUCAACCGAGUAACCCCGACUGAGCAAGCCUGUUAGGUUUCAUACUACCCAAAUUCGUCUUUGAAUAAAGAGAAAAUGUACAUCAUUAAUCAAAUUCUAUAAACAUGUCAUUAACAAUUCCAUUUCAUUUCCAUUAUCAACUUCGUUCACAAUUUUGAAGAUAUUACAAGUUUUAUACAUCAUUGUGAAACAUCAAUAUUUCUACUUUAAUUCCAAUACCCGAUACUACCCACAACCUGUCUACGAAGCCUCUAAAUACAACUGAAGAAUAAUAUGGAAAUGCCGGCAACAAGGCUACGGCUAUACCUCAAAUACAAUGUACAUGAUAAACAGAUGAAAUAGGACCCUUAAACAAAGUGGGGCUCACCAAGUCAGCUGAAAAGAUGAUGUGGCACUAGCUGCGACCAACACUGCCUGCUAUAGAAACACCUACAUCCAUUUAAAGAUAUAGCGCCUACGAUAAAAGGGACGUUAGUGCCAUCGAAUAGCACUAGUAUGUAUAACUAAACACCAUCCAGUUAGAAAGAACUUUCAUACCAAACAUAAGGAAAUCAUAAGUAUAACUCAAAAGCUUCAAACGAUCACAACAUUAUCAAGGUAAAGGAAUCAUACAAUUUUCAUAUUUUGUUUCCAUAGCCUUUAGUUUGGGGCAUUUCAUAUUGUUCAUCAUUGUUCACAAUACCACCGCUAGCUUGAGCGGAGUCCGAUCUCGACCCGAUCGGCUAGGUUGCCUCACUUGAGACAUACACUUCAAUCACAAUCUCAUUUUCCCUUUUUAUCCGGGACUCAAUAUCAACACAAUACCACUAUGUGUGCGACAUGGCAUCCGAUCUCGGCCCGAUCGGCUAGGCCACCUUACCAAGGCGUUUCCCUUUUCCAUCAAUCAUCUCAAUUCAAUCUUUGUUUUAUAUAUGUCAUUUCAUGGGCACUUGGGGCCACAACUAUCACGUCAUAUAUUUGGCACUAGGCCACAUUUCACAUCAUUUUNNNNNNNNNNNNNNNNNNNNNNGAUACUUCACAUAGAGGACACAACAUAUGUAGCUUCAAUCUCAAUUUAAGGUCUAAGCAUUUCAGUACAUGAUUCAUAUUCCUUGCACCCUUUCAAGUUAUCAAGAAUAGCACAUUUAUCAUAUUGAGACACAUCUUUCACGCAUAUAAGACCGCAACCCAAAUUCAUGUGAAACAACAAUCAACACAACAAUUCAACUUUGCUCUUACCGUAUUUACACAAACAUCGAUGGAGCUCAAUUUCUAAAAGACGGGGUUUUAGCCAUACAUAUCUGAAAUUUGACCCUUAAUGAUACUACAAUGAUCCAAUACACUUAAGCAACUUCAAUCUACAAUACAACAUUCAAUAGGGCCAAUAUUAGUAAUAAAUUCCAUAACUUAUGCCAUUUAGGCAUAUUAUCAAACACCUUGUAAGUAUAGAUCUUUACACGUCAUAACUAUAGUAUUGGUUCAUCCAACUAUCACCAUUAACCAAUAAUUUAUUCCACCAUCAUUCUUAACCAAUUUAUAACUUCCAACAACUAUGUAUGACCAUCCAUUCACACCCAACCAACAAAUCUUAUCAAAUAAUCAUCUUUACAUCUCUACAAUAAUUAUGUAUUUAUAUUGGGAACUUAUGGCUUCUUAUCACCACACCAAGAGUUCCAAUACUUAAUUCAUACUCAUAUUCCCAUAAUAUAUCCAUAUAUGUAAGUCUAAUGGUGUAGGAAUUACGUUUUGGAAGAAAUUUUGCAAACCCUCCUUUGAGUUCUUGAAGGAAUUUCUUGAAGAUCUAUGUAUUUUAUGUGAAGAUUUCAUCAAUACUAGUGUAGGAAUAAUGGAAUUUCACACCAAGUUAAUGGAGAUUGCUUACCUUGAAGAUGGGAGGGGUUGGAGGUCUUGAGAGAGUGGAGAAAGACCCUAAGAGUCGUCCAAAAGAAAUGGGAGAAAAUGAAUCCCGAAAUUAUGUUUAUAAGCCCAGAUUUCGGAUGCUGCCUCGGAUGCUUCGCAUCCCCAAUUCACUCCUCUCAGGAGCUCAGAUGCUGACCCAGAUGCUAUGGCAGCACUUCACUGCCAGCUCCUCUUUUUGGAUGCUGCCUCGGAUGCUUCGCAUCCGCGCAGUCCUCCGCCAGCCUUUGGUAAUUUGAUCAUAACUUCUUGUAGGGAAGUCCAAAUGACAAACGGUUUGAAGCGUUAGAAAUUAGACUCAAAGGACUUUCAUUUGAUAGGCUGUGCAUCAUCUAAAACCUUAUAUAUCUGUAUAUAUGCUCGUCCAAAGUGUGGUCUUGUGCAUACUCAUUUGGAAUUUUAGUCUAUCAUGUAAUUUUCCAACUUGGCUUAGACUUAUACGCUUAUUAACAUAUCCAAUUGAUAUCCAUUAUAUCAUGAAUCCUCAUUUGCACACAAAAUAAAAUAAUUAGCCUACCUUGGAAACCACGCAAUCUUAAAUUACUUAGCAAAGUGUUCCGGGGCUUUACAUUCUCCCCCACUUAGGAUCAUUCGUCCUCGAAUGAUAAUUGGAGUCAAUCCGCAAAUACUUAGUAUAACUUAUGUCCUUUCUCACAUAUCUUUAUCUCCCAAAUUUUGACUAACUCCCAAAUAUUUCAGAAAUUUCGGCAGAGUUUCCCUUGUAAUUGGGCCUAUCCACCUGUCAGAGAUUCCCAGAAACACAUCCUAUCAACAUAUACAUAAUCCAAAGAUGCAACAUAAUAUAAAAUGAUGCCAACCGUGGCCCCAUAAGCAAUGCAUUUCUAGAAUAGAAACACUAUUAUCAUCAACUAACCAUGUGAUACAUAAUUCAUAGAAGGUAAGCUUUCAACAUCUUCAUAGGACGCAAAUACUUAAUUACAUAGCUAUCCAAACAAGUGAGGGUACUUCUUCCUCAUUUCUUCCUCGGCUUCCCAAAUGGCUUCCUCACUUUGCUGGUUUCACCAUAACACUUUCACGGAGGCAAUUUCUUUAUUUCUCAACUUUCAGACUUGCCUAUCAAGGAUGGAAAUUGGAAUUUCUUCGUACGAUAAUUCUUCAUUAAACUCAAUAGUCUCAACUGGCACAAUAGUGGACGGAUCUCCUACUACCUUAUACAACAUAGACACAUGGAAGACUGGGUGCACCAAUGACAUCUCGGGUGGCAGCUCGAGCUUGUAUGCCACCUGACCAAUCCUCUGAAUGAUUUUGUAUGGCCCCACAUACCUCGGACUUAUUUUUCCUUUCUUUCCAAACCGCAUGAUACCCUUCAUGGGGGAAACCUUCAAAAAUACCCAAUCAUCUUCUUUGAACUCCAAGUCUCUACGACGAACGUCCGAAUAUGACUUUUGGCGACUCUGAGCAGUUUUCAACCUCUCUUUAAUAAUCUUGACUUUCUCCAUAGCCUGAUGUACGAGGUCUGGCCCUAUCAAUUCAGCCUCUCCAACCUCGAACCACCCAAUGAGAUAUCUACAUAUCCUACUAUACAACGCCUCAAAUGGUGCCACCUGGAUACUAGCAUGGAAGCUGUUGUUAUAAGAAAACUCUAUGAGGGGUAAAUGAUCAUUCCAGAUACCUUUGAAAUUAAGAACACAAGCACACAACAUAUCCUCAAGCGCCUGAAUGGUCCGCUCUGCCUGCCUAUUAGUUUGUAGAUGGAAGGCUGUACUAAGAUUUAAUUGAGUACCCAAACCUUACUGAAAUUUCUUCCAAAAGUUUGCCAUGAAUUGAGCCACUCUAUCUGAAAUGAUUGAGAUUGGAGUGCCAUGCAACCUGACUAUUUCUUUGAUAUACAUUUGAGCAUACUGUUCCGCUGUGUCGGUAGAUUUAACUGGCAAGACGUGCGCUGAUUUCGUGAGUCGAUCAACGAUUACCCAAAUUGAGUUGAACUUGCGCGUAGUGCGAGGUAAUCCUACCACAAAAUCCAUAUUGAUCAUUUUCCAUUUCCACAUUGGAAUUUUUAUGCUUUGUAACAAUCUUCCAGGCCUUUGAUGUUCAGCCUUCACUUGCUGAUAGUUCGGAUAUUUUGCCACAAUGUCCACCACAUCCCCUUCCUUGUUAUUCCACCAAUAAACUUCUUUGAGAUCAUGAUACAUUUUUGUAGAACCAAGGUGUAUGGAAUACCUAGAAGUGUGAGCUUCUGCCAAAAUCCUUUCCCGAAGACUAUCAAUAUCUGGAACACAUAGGCGUACUUGGCAUCGUAGGGUACCAUUAUCAAUGCCAAAAGAAAAAGUUGUGGUCCUGUAUUUAUGAAUUCCCUCCUUCAUCUGUAUCAAUAAUGGAUUGUUGUAUUGCUUCUCUUUCACUUGUGCCACAAGUGACGAUUCAACCCUAUUUUGCACAAUUUCCCUACCUUCACUAGAGUUCACAAGACGAACUCCCAAACUUGCCAACUAGUGAACCUCCCUAGCCAACGACCUUUGAUAUGCCUCCAAGUGAGCUAAACUAUCCAUAGAUUUCCAACUAAGAGCAUCUGCCAUGACGUUGGCCUUUUCCCGGGUGAUAUUGAAUAUCGAGGUCGUGGUCUUUGAGUAACUCAAGCCAUCUUCUCUGCCUCAGAUUCAGCUCCUUUUGUUUGAAAAUAUAUUGAAGGCUCUUGUGGUCCGUAAAUACAUCCACUUGGACCCCAUACAAAUAAUGUCGCCAAAUCUUUAGUGCAAACAUCACUGCCACAUGCUCUAAGUCAUGUGCUGCAUAGUUUUUUCCAUGAUUCUUGAGUUGCCUAGAUGCAUAAAUUUUUACCUUAACACAUUGCAUCAUUAGUGGAACAUCUUUAUCAUAUUUAUCUUACAUAAGACCUCCCACAAAUUGAGUUCUACAAUAGUUUCCCUGAUAUGGUUACAAUCUCCUAUGAAUACUUGCAACUAGCUCUUCCAAAUUCUCAACAAAAGACAUUAUUGAAUGAGUUUUUAUUCAAUGGACCUUCUGUCUCAAAUGAAUAACACUUGCUAACUUGCUCACAUACCCUAAUAACAUCAACCUGUACGACAUUUCAUCAAAUGUAAGGUAACAUUGUGCUCCGACUUUUCUUAGCCAACCUCUUCCCUUAUGUGCCUUAUAGAAUUUAAGAAACCGCACUACUUCCCCUGUGAAUAUGCUCACGAUCCCUCUUUACUGUUAGACACUUCCCAAAAACACAUAUCAACACCCUUUAUAUGUCUACAAUUUAGGAAGAGUCACUGGCCCGAGAAGGGCAUUCUCUGAAACUUGAGAUCCUCCUUGAUUCUUCAACAACGACUUUUGGUUUUACUCUUAAAUGUAAGACUUAGUCCACCUGAUUCUAUCCUCGAUGAGUAACUCACCUCAUUCCCCAUAUUGUAGCUACCAAUAGAGUUCCCUGAUAUUGCGGUUUAAGAUUUACCAUGUUAAACAUGUAUGGUCUGUAACAAGUGUUCAUCCUCUUUCAAUCUAUUUUGAACCGUUCAUUUGCCCUUUGGGUAGAUUGUGUUAUCUUUUCCCUUUUUUUUCACCCUUUGUCCCGGACAAUAUGCUGUUACCAUCUUUUCUUUCUAACCGGAACAUUAAUUCCCAUUCUAUUUUGCUUAUAGUGCAUAAUUGAUAGCCUUAUUGUGCCACACACUUGUCUACCUCCCAGGAACUUGUAAUAUCAUUGUGGCUAGUUUAGUGAGUUUAUCAUACCACAAAUUCACCUUCAGUGGUCUCACUUUCCAUUAUAUGUAGACAUGAACUGUCUCUAGAUCCUUUAGUUGAUAUUCGGUGUCACCCAAGUCGGUUGCAUUACGAUUAGUCCUUUAUAACUUUUAUUAACACUUAUACUCUAAGCGAGUCCACCAUUCUGAUAUAAGAAAUUUUAUGAUAACCAUGACCAUCUCAAUUUAUAGGUUUUCUCCCCAUUUCUUCUCACCUCAUUCUUCCUAGCUAGUGAAUAGCCAUGCAUUCUUCCAUAUGUUACGUGGUUUUUUCCCUUAGUUAUUUCAUCCCGCUCACCUCUUAACUCUUGUUAGGAUAUUCGUGGGAAAGUGUGUUCAUCCGCAUAUCACUUAACAUUUCUUUACUUGUAAGAUUUUUUUUAGGCUCUCUAUCAAGCCCAAAUACCCUCUUGGGUUAUUAUAGCAUCACAUUUAUUUCUCCCACUCAUUUCACCUUUCUUAACGCCUUGGUACUUUGGUUAAAUCACAGAUCUAUGAUUAACCCAUUCUAAAAACUCGCAACCUUCCACAUUUGACCUAUAGUACUUCUUUAGGUUCCAUUGUUCCUCACCCUCUAACAAGUAUAAAAUUCCUUUACUAAUACAUCUUAGUUUCUAGGAUCGUUGAUCCUAUCACUCACAUUUCCCUGUAUGAAAAAAAUUUACUUUCCUUAACCUUCCACCUUUUUGAGGGUACUAGUGGUCUAUCAUUAGCAUAUCCUUUCAAAUAAUCACGUUAUCCAUUAUCACUUUUCUAGACUAUGCAUGUCUUCAACAAAAUAUUCAAACAUCAUAGCUACAUGGUCUUACUCUUGUUUCGUUGUAUUUAAGUGGCCUCACUAUGGCCCUUCCUAACCCCCCUUGGGGCGAAUGUCCCAGAUUUCGACACAAGACUUGAAUUUAGCAACUUCAUGGACAUAUGCCUCAUGUCUCUAUCCCUCAUAUAUAUGUUCUACCAUUAGGGAGAUUUAAGUCACCAUGGUAUUAACCUCAUAAGUUCUCUACUCUUACUCAGCCACAUGGGCUUGGGAUUCUAAUUCCUCAUGUCAAUAUCCGGUAGGAGUGUAAUAUCACUUCGUACACUUCUGGAUUUUUAUAAAGUUCGUUAUACAUGUGAGCACGUGAUUUUUGUUUCGCACGACACUCGCUCCAAAAAAGAAAUAAAAAAAAAUAAUUGGCCCUGCUGUACAAUUUUUGGAUUUCUGUGCGGCACUUUGUUGAUUUAUUUGUGAUUUUGGCCCAUUUUAUUUAUCUACUUUAUUAAAACAAAAUUGAAAAAAAGUGUACGUGUCAUGCAUAACUUGAACCGUAACAUUGGUUUAAAUAGAAAGGCAUAAACAGGCACCUUUGUCCGUGAUUUUGAUUUGUUUGAUUUUACCCGUUUUGAAAUAUUUUAGUGUGUGUGCAAAUAAUUGUAUUGAGUGUGUAUUUAAUUUUUAAUUUUGAUUUUUUGCUUAGUUUUGUUUUUAAAAUUAAAAAAAAAAGAAGAAAAAGAAGAAAAAAUCAGCAAUUAUUCCGGAUUGGGCCAAUUUUAAUAAAUUGGCCCAAACAAACAACGUUCAAACCAAGCCUGCCCGGUCCGGGCCACCUGAUGCCCAGGAUGUCCAAACGACGUCGUUUGAGUCAUGCCUGAUCUGGGCCGUUGAUCUCAGAUUGAUCAACAACCAAGAUCAAUUCCCCAUAACCCACCAAUAAACCCGACCCGUCUCACCCGGACCGACCCCAACCCUUUACCCUUGAAACGACACCGUUCCACUUAAGCUAUCAGAUCCAGACCGUAGAUCUAGAUUGAUCUAACGGUCGAGAUCAAUCCACCCAUUAACUAUAUAAGGCCAUAAUCCUACCCUGCCCCCCUAUCUGAACCCCAACCUUCGUCCCCAAACAAACAGCCCUAAAACCCUAGCCGCCCCUGCGUACUUUCGCCAUGAAAGCCUGCGGCAUGGAUGCCGGUGACCUUCCCCUUAACACCCUAGAAUCCCCUUGCCUUCCUGAACAUGAAUCCAUUAACCCUGUAGUUCGAAUCCCUCCCCACCUUCUCGAAUCUUCAUUUGAAGAUUCGAGUCGAAACUCGAUCUACACAGUUUAACCCCAGCUUCACACCAGAUACUCCCCAUACCCCCAUCGUGACCAAACCAUACUUGGUUUGGUCCGAAUCUGACCAGGGAAGCCUGAAUCCCAGAUCUAAGUUUGAAAAUUUUGUGUUCCUCCGUCAUUUGGUUCAACCAAAGAGAUUAAGGUCUAAUGGACUUUAAUCAAAGUGUUUCUCAUCUGAGAAACACUUCGUUUAAAGUCCGUUCAGCCUUAAAAAGGCCUGGCCAAGUCCAAGUCGAGGUCUUAAUUUUCAAGGUUUAAGGUGAGUUCUUUCUUUUCUUUAUUUGCUUUGGUUCGUUUGAUUGUUGUAAGGGUCUGUUCGUUUUCUGUCCUUGACUUCUAUCAACUGUUCUUCAACCGUUUUGCCUGAACUUCUGUUUGUUUGUCUAAAAUCCCCCCUCCUGUUCUGAUGAAACAUAUGUAUUUGUUGUACAAUAAUUGAGCUUCAAAUGUUGACUGAGCAAUUGGUUCCUCAAGUACCACUUUGCUCAGUCAGUACAAUUCGAAUUAUGGGUCGAUACUGUUAAAUGUCGGAUUUUUGGUUACGAUUGUGUAUGUUAAUGCUAAUAUAGUCGAGUCGACAUGUGUCGUCAAUUAAUCUCAACUGUCCGAACAAUAACAAAUCGAUUUACUUCUGCUAAGCAUUUGUUGAGUCAAUUAAGAACCAGUUUUUGUUUACUUAUAGUUGUUUGGAUUAAACAGUAAUGUAAAAAGAUUUGUUUGGUUUGAAUUCUGAAUUGGAAGGCAUGUGCACUCGUGCACAGCAUGUGCAUUAGUGCACCUCAUGUGCUUUGUGCACAGCCUGUGGCCUGCAUAAAGGCCUUUGUUAAGUUUUAAACAAUUUGACAGCAUAUGCUGUCAGAUACAUUCCACUGCCCAUACUUGGCUUUAGUUUAAAGGAGUAUUUAAACCUUUUAAAGUGAAGUCUGCCAAAGAAUGUUGAUGGGGUUUAAUACUUAAUUAGCUAAAGUUUGGAAUUAAAAAUAGAAGGCACAUGGGAGGGGUACUAGGAUAUUCUGAAAACAGGCUGUUGAAAGAGAUAGUUUUGGAGGUUUAUAAAGGCAUGGACAUACAGAAUUAAGGGGAAGAGAAAAAAAAAAGAAGAUAAAAACCCUAGGAGCUGAAAAGGAAAAAAACACAAACACAGAUAGAGAGAGGUGAAGGGAUAGAAACUAUACAACAAACAAUCAGAAACUUUUUCCUCCUAUUAUUAUUGGUUUUCAGUUGCUCAACUUGUUGAAACCCAUUCUGAUUCUUUGAAAUUCCAGUUGUGUCUAUUAGUCGAGUGUUUUUCAUUGGUUUACUACUAGUUUGGUCUGUUUGGAUUUCUGUUUCUAUUCCACUGGGUGUUGCUUCUAUUUGGCUAUUACUUUCUAUUGGCCAUAUUUGCAUCUCUGCACUCGAGCCUGUUUCUUGCUGUAUUGUUUUGCCUGCUGCUAUUCUGCCCUGUUGCUGUUGGUGCUGUUACUGCUGCUGCAUUUGUUCAUUGUUACUCUACUGAUUGCCCUUUUUCUUCAAUUGCAAAUAUUCCCAGGUACACAACCUUUGACCUUGUAUUGUUGAAAGU
RNAcentral lists this long non-coding RNA (11378 nucleotides) under Nicotiana tabacum (common tobacco). Its description in RNAcentral is "long non-coding RNA (NTAB_LNC012774)". The record is from RNAcentral. Lineage: Eukaryota; Viridiplantae; Streptophyta; Magnoliopsida; Solanales; Solanaceae.